CCUACGGGAGGCUGCAGUGGGGAAUAUUGCACAAUGGGAGAAACCCUGAUGCAGCGACGCCGCGUGAGUGAAGAAGGCUUUCGGUGUGUAAAGCUCUAUCAGCAGGGAAGAAAAUGACGGUACCUGAUUCAGAAGCCCCGGCUAACUACGUGCCAGCAGCCGCGGUAAUACGUAGGGGGCCAGCGUUAUCCGGAUUUACUGGGUGUAAAGGGAGCGUAGACGGCAGCACAAGUCUGGAGUGAAAUGCCGGGGCUUAACCCCGGAACUGCUUUGGAAACUGUGCAGCUAGAGUGCAGGAGAGGUAAGUGGAAUUCCUAGUGUAGCGGUGAAAUGCGUAGAUAUUAGGAGGAACACCAGUGGCGAAGGCGGCUUACUGGACUCUAACUGACGUUGAGGCUCGAAAGCGUGGGGAGCAAACAGGAUUAGAUACCCGGGUAGUC
RNAcentral lists this ribosomal RNA (440 nucleotides) under uncultured bacterium. RNAcentral's name for it is "partial 16S ribosomal RNA". It matches the Rfam family "Bacterial small subunit ribosomal RNA", at positions 338 to 795 of the family's 1533-position model. The record is from RNAcentral.